Molecule: transfer RNA, 63 nt
Filed under: Erotylinae sp. 2 ACP-2013
Lineage: Eukaryota; Metazoa; Arthropoda; Insecta; Coleoptera; Erotylidae
Description: tRNA-Asp
Source: RNAcentral
GAAAAACUUAGUUAAAUUAUAACAUUAACUUGUCAAGUUAAAAUUACUAAAUUAGUUGUUUGU